This 382-nucleotide long non-coding RNA is filed under the name Cyanistes caeruleus (blue tit). Its description in RNAcentral is "lncRNA (ENSCCEG00000018984.1)". Lineage: Eukaryota; Metazoa; Chordata; Aves; Passeriformes; Paridae. The record is from RNAcentral.
CCCCUCUCAACCCCAGCAGUUCUGGCCUUUAUUUUCUUGUUCUGGCCUUGCUAAAUACCAAGCAUGGUGUUCAAAAGUCAGUGUACAAAAAUGACAGAAAACAAUGGCACUGUUCUCAGACACCUUAAGGCACAAUGGAACAGAGACACAGGUCCACUGGAUUUUGACAUUCCUCAGGAGAUAUCAGAGUUAUGCAGGAAUGCAUAAUCCACAAACUGCCAAGGAGAAACAUCAAGAAGAUUCAGAAGCUGAGCUAAUUCAAGUCUUACCCUGUUAGACCUCAAGAUAUGCUUAGGCCAGCUUUCAACAAGUUCUAACCAUUAAACUACAACAUUUUCAGGACACUUGGAAACAAUAAUAAAUAUAAUAUUUCUGAUUAAAG